RNAcentral lists this ribosomal RNA (402 nucleotides) under uncultured bacterium. RNAcentral's name for it is "bacterial SSU rRNA". It matches the Rfam family "Bacterial small subunit ribosomal RNA", at positions 355 to 774 of the family's 1533-position model. The record is from RNAcentral.
UAGGGAAUAUUGGUAAUGUGCGAAAGCGCGAACCAGCAACGCCGCGUGCACGAUGAAGGCCUUCGGGUUGUAAAGUGCUUUUAGAGAGGAUGAGGAAGGACAGUACUUUCUGAAUAAGCCUCGGCUAACUACGUGCCAGCAGCCGCGGUAAAACGUAGGAGGCUAGCGUUAUCCGGAUUUACUGGGCGUAAAGCGCGUGCAGGUGGUUUCGUAAGUUGGAUGUGAAAGCUCCUGGCUUAACUGGGAGAGGUCGUUCAAAACUGCGAGGCUUGAGAGUGGUAGAGGGAGGUGGAAUUCCUGGUGUAGUGGUGAAAUGCGUAGAUAUCCGGAGGAACACCAGUGGCGAAAGCGGCCUCCUGGACCAUUUCUGACACUCAGACGCGAAAGCUAAGGUAGCAAACG